RNAcentral lists this ribosomal RNA (910 nucleotides) under Fusarium tricinctum. Its description in RNAcentral is "eukaryotic LSU rRNA". The stretch from base 136 to 289 matches the Rfam family "5.8S ribosomal RNA". Lineage: Eukaryota; Fungi; Ascomycota; Sordariomycetes; Hypocreales; Nectriaceae. The record is from RNAcentral.
UCCAACCCCUGUGACAUACCUUAAUGUUGCCUCGGCGGAUCAGCCCGCGCCCCGUAAAACGGGACGGCCCGCCAGAGGACCCAAACUCUAAUGUUUCUUAUUGUAACUUCUGAGUAAAACAAACAAAUAAAUCAAAACUUUCAACAACGGAUCUCUUGGUUCUGGCAUCGAUGAAGAACGCAGCAAAAUGCGAUAAGUAAUGUGAAUUGCAGAAUUCAGUGAAUCAUCGAAUCUUUGAACGCACAUUGCGCCCGCUGGUAUUCCGGCGGGCAUGCCUGUUCGAGCGUCAUUUCAACCCUCAAGCCCCCGGGUUUGGUGUUGGGGAUCGGCUCUGCCCUUCUGGGCGGUGCCGCCCCCGAAAUACAUUGGCGGUCUCGCUGCAGCCUCCAUUGCGUAGUAGCUAACACCUCGCAACUGGAACGCGGCGCGGCCAUGCCGUAAAACCCCAACUUCUGAAUGUUGACCUCGGAUCAGGUAGGAAUACCCGCUGAACUUAAGCAUAUCAAUAAGCGGAGNAGGAGAUCAUUACCGAGUUUACAACUCCAAACCCUGUGAAUAUACCUUANNGUUGCCUCGCGGAUCAUCCGCCCGUANAAGGGAAGGCGCGAUGACAUACUCUAUGUUUCUUAUUGUAACUUCUUAGUAAAACAACUAUUAUCUAACUUUCACAACGUACUUUGGUACUUGCUUCGAUAAUAAGCACAAAUGUCGUAUAGUAAUGUGAAUUGCAAAAUUCAGUGAACACGUAUCUUGAACGCAAUGCGCUCGCUUGUUAUUUCGCGGCAUGCUUUCGAGCGUCAUUUCACCUUAGGCCGUGGUUUUGGGUUGAUGGGGAUCCGUCCUUCUUUCUGGGCUGUCUCCUACAAAUACAUGUGCGGCUUCUUCACCUCUUGCGUAAUAACUAAACCUU